GACGAACCGUGCGAACGGUGUUCGGAAUCACUGGGCUUAAAGGGCGCGUAGGCGGGUGACCAAGUCCUGGGUGAAAUCUUUCGGCUUAACCGGAAAAGUGCCUGAGAUACUGGUCAUCUGGAGGGAGGUAGGGGCAGCUGGAACUUCCGGUGGAGCGGUGAAAUGCGUUGAUAUCGGAAGGAACGCCGGUGGCGAAAGCGAGCUGCUGGACCUCUUCUGACGCUGAGGCGCGAAAGCCAGGGGAGCAAACGGG
RNAcentral lists this ribosomal RNA (253 nucleotides) under uncultured bacterium. RNAcentral's name for it is "partial 16S ribosomal RNA". It matches the Rfam family "Bacterial small subunit ribosomal RNA", at positions 524 to 776 of the family's 1533-position model. The record is from RNAcentral.